GGUCCGCAUUGGAGUUGUGUCCUGGACUCUUCAUGUCCCUGUUUGCACACUCACGGGGCCCGAGA
Molecule: small nucleolar RNA, 65 nt
Organism: Trypanosoma vivax Y486
Lineage: Eukaryota; Euglenozoa; Kinetoplastea; Trypanosomatida; Trypanosomatidae
Rfam family: Trypanosomatid snoRNA TB9Cs2H1
Source: Rfam